CGCUGAGAAGCUAAACCGGUUUCAGCAUUAGCCUUUUAAGCUAAAAAUUGGUGCCUACCACACACCCUCAGCGA
Molecule: transfer RNA, 74 nt
Filed under: Parupeneus barberinoides (bicolor goatfish)
Lineage: Eukaryota; Metazoa; Chordata; Actinopteri; Syngnathiformes; Mullidae
Description: tRNA-Lys
Rfam family: tRNA
About the family: Transfer RNA (tRNA) molecules are approximately 80 nucleotides in length. Their secondary structure includes four short double-helical elements and three loops (D, anti-codon, and T loops). Further hydrogen bonds mediate the characteristic L-shaped molecular structure. tRNAs have two regions of fundamental functional importance: the anti-codon, which is responsible for specific mRNA codon recognition, and the 3' end, to which the tRNAs corresponding amino acid is attached (by aminoacyl-tRNA synthetases). tRNAs cope with the degeneracy of the genetic code in two manners: having more than one tRNA (with a specific anti-codon) for a particular amino acid; and 'wobble' base-pairing, i.e. permitting non-standard base-pairing at the 3rd anti-codon position.
Source: RNAcentral